Molecule: ribosomal RNA, 633 nt
Filed under: Ligilactobacillus salivarius
Lineage: Bacteria; Bacillati; Bacillota; Bacilli; Lactobacillales; Lactobacillaceae
Description: bacterial SSU rRNA
Rfam family: Bacterial small subunit ribosomal RNA
Source: RNAcentral
CUUACACCGAAUGCUUGCAUUCACCGUAAGAAGUUGAGUGGCGGACGGGUGAGUAACACGUGGGUAACCUGCCUAAAAGAAGGGGAUAACACUUGGAAACAGGUGCUAAUACCGUAUAUCUCUAAGGAUCGCAUGAUCCUUAGAUGAAAGAUGGUUCUGCUAUCGCUUUUAGAUGGACCCGCGGCGUAUUAACUAGUUGGUGGGGUAACGGCCUACCAAGGUGAUGAUACGUAGCCGAACUGAGAGGUUGAUCGGCCACAUUGGGACUGAGACACGGCCCAAACUCCUACGGGAGGCAGCAGUAGGGAAUCUUCCACAAUGGACGCAAGUCUGAUGGAGCAACGCCGCGUGAGUGAAGAAGGUCUUCGGAUCGUAAAACUCUGUUGUUAGAGAAGAACACGAGUGAGAGUAACUGUUCAUUCGAUGACGGUAUCUAACCAGCAAGUCACGGCUAACUACGUGCCAGCAGCCGCGGUAAUACGUAGGUGGCAAGCGUUGUCCGGAUUUAUUGGGCGUAAAGGGAACGCAGGCGGUCUUUUAAGUCUGAUGUGAAAGCCUUCGGCUUAACCGGAGUAGUGCAUUGGAAACUGGAAGACUUGAGUGCAGAAGAGGAGAGUGGAACUCCAUGGGUAG